UUGGAGGGCAAGUCUGGUGCCAGCAGCCGUGGUAAUUCCAGCUCCAAUAGCGUAUAUUAAAGUUGUUGCAGUUAAAAAGCUCAUAGUUGAAUUUCGGGAUCAACGUGAUGGUCAUGCCUUAAGGGUAUGAACUGUUGCAGUUGAUUUCUCACCUUCUGGAGAAGCUUGAUGUCCUUAAUUGGGUGUCAUGUGGAACCAGGACCUUUACCUUGAAAAAAUUAGAGUGUUUAAAGCAGGCAUUUUGCUCGAAUACAUUAGCAUGGAAUAAUAGAAUAGGAUGGCAUGGUUCUAUUUUGUUGGUUUCUAGGAUCACCGUAAUGAUUAAUAGGGAUAGUUGGGGGCAUUAGUAUUCAAUUGCCAGAGGUGAAAUUCUUGGAUUUAUUGAAGACUAACUACUGCGAAAGCAUUUGCCAAGGAUGUUUUCAUUAAUCAAGAACGAAAGUUAGGGGAUCGAAGACGAUCAGAUACCGUCGUAGUCUUAACCAUAAACUAUGCCGACUAGGGAUCGGAUGAUGUUAAUUUUUUAAUGACUCAUUCGGCGCCUUACGGGAAAC
Molecule: ribosomal RNA, 554 nt
Filed under: uncultured Entrophosporaceae
Lineage: Eukaryota; Fungi; Glomeromycota; Glomeromycetes; Entrophosporales; Entrophosporaceae
Description: SSU rRNA
Rfam family: Eukaryotic small subunit ribosomal RNA
Source: RNAcentral